GGCGGGCUUAGGUCUGGCUCCCGCGAAACCCGCAGUCUCUUUCCCUUCUGUUUCACCAAACUCUGGUGGGGAGAAACAGAGAUGCAAAUUAGGGAGCCGAAGACCCGCUUUGAGGGCUGAUGAGGAAUUCGUGUCCAAGAAAGUAAUAUCUCUCCCAUUAAUGUGUGGUGUUCAAGUGACACUAAAGGCGGAGGUGGCCGGCUAAGGCCACUCUGGCUGGUUUCCCUCCACCCUGGGUGUGGCCCCGUGUCCCCCUAGGAGAUAACCCGAGGAGCGUGAGUAAGGCAGGGAGGGGCGUUGGGACCUCGGGGAUACGUGGCCCGGUGUCUGAGUCACAGAGACGAGGAUGUAAAUAAACACGCAAAUGGCUGUUUGUGGCGUAAUGACCAAUCUCAGUAAGGAGUGGUCUAAAGAUUUGCACAUUAACACAAAUUAGCUAGAUAUCACUUAGAAAAGUCAUCAAAUCACAACAUUUCUAAGCAUAAUAUUAAAAAACUGUGUCGAUGACCUUGCACUAUAGACAGGUAUAUUGAGCAGUUAGCAGAUACCUUGACAGUCUUGAGUGAACUAAAACUUGACUCACAAUGGAUCUGAACUUGUUUCAGCAACUAGCAUCUUCUCCUGAGUCAUACGGAUGUUGGUGGGGAGAAUAAACGAGAAUGGAGAUCACCUGACUGAUAGGAUGACUUAGUUCAGAGUUCCAGCAAUUGCCAGAACCAAGUUCUAACAAAGAGUAAACUCUGUGACAAAUGGAUAAAGCUCACCGUUGCAUCCCUCCAGUGGAGUGAACCCAGAAUAUUGUUACACCGAGAUGAAUCAGUUCUGAGGAUCUAAUGUGGAGCAUGUUGACUAUGGUUAACAAUACUGUAU
This is a long non-coding RNA of Prionailurus viverrinus (fishing cat), 870 nucleotides long. RefSeq lists it as uncharacterized. Lineage: Eukaryota; Metazoa; Chordata; Mammalia; Carnivora; Felidae. The transcript has 3 exons. The record is from RefSeq and is a predicted model, not a curated record.